UGGGGAAUUUUGCACAAUGGGGGAAACCCUGAUGCAGCGACGCCGCGUGAUUUAGAAGGCCUUCGGGUUGUAAAAAUCUUUUCUAUGGGAAGAAAAUGACAGUACCAUAGGAAUAAGGACCGGCUAAUUACGUGCCAGCAGCCGCGGUAAUACGUAAGGUCCGAGCGUUGUCCGGAAUCAUUGGGGGUAAAGGGUACGUAGGCGGGUAAGCAAGUUAGAAGUGAAAUCCUGUAGCUCAACUACAGUAAGCUUUUAAAACUGCUCAUCUGGAGAUAUGAAAGGGGAAGUGGAAUUCCUAGUGUAGCGAUGAAAUACGCGGAUAUUAGGAGGAAGACCGGUGGCGAAGGCGGCUUUCUGGCCAUACUCUGACGCUGAGGUACGAAAGCGUGGGUAGCAAACAGG
Molecule: ribosomal RNA, 402 nt
Filed under: Verrucomicrobiota bacterium
Lineage: Bacteria; Pseudomonadati; Verrucomicrobiota
Description: Verrucomicrobia bacterium partial 16S ribosomal RNA
Rfam family: Bacterial small subunit ribosomal RNA
Source: RNAcentral